GUACAGAAUAUUUAUUUAGAAGUUCAUGUCGAGAGGUGUAAUUCUGUCUCUUAAUGUGAGGUUGAUAUAUGGAUCUAGAGAUACAUGCCGUAACACAAACACACACCGUUGCAUUGCCAAAGAGUUCUUUAUUUAAACCAAUAAAACAAUGUCUUUACUCAACACAUUGCUGGUACUCUUUCGGCAGUUAAUUUGAGUGUUUUUCCCAAUUUAUCACAUUAAACAUCCAGAGUAUCAAAUCAUUUAACAUUUAACACAUAACAAUAACCCAUACGGACAAACUGUGCUGCUUUUGAAGGCAUCACGAGACGAUCCAUCCUGACUGGCACAUCUCCCAUCCGUCUGCAGAAACAUCAUCGUCCGGUGCUGGAGCUCAUCUUCACAGCUGAGGACGAUGAUGAUGAUGAUGAUGGUGGUGAGGAAUGAGCUCUUCGCUCUUCAUGCAUCCUGAUAUUGUUUGACCAGUAACCACAUGAGCAGAACUGUGAUCAACACAAUCAUAAAGUUCAGAAACAGCUCCUGUGCGGAUCGGUCCAUCUGAGCCGUUUAGAGCAGAAACACGACAGCUGGAAGACUGGGGACGACCGGAGCUCUGGAUCAGACAGAGAGAGAGAGAGAGAGAGAGAGAUGUGAAAAUAGACAAGUAUGCUGGUCAUUUAGAAAUUAAGCCAGCCAUCUAUCCAUCCAUCUGUCUAUUCAUCCGUCCAAGUUUCACCCCCUGUUUGGCUUUGAAUCAAACGCAAAUCUAUCAUCAGUUUAACUGCUGUGACACACACACACACACACACACACACACACACUUACUGUCCCUAUCACAUAUCAUAGACUAUUGUUUUUAUAUAAAAUCAUUUCUAAUGAAUUAUAGACAAGAAAACCACAUUUUUAAAGGUUCAGAGGUUUUAAAGUCUCUUCUGCUCACCAAGGCUGUGUUUAUUUGAUCAAAAAUACUUAAAAAUAAUUGGGAAAUAUUAUUACAAUGUAAAACAGCUGUUUUCUAUGUGAAUAUGUGUUAAACUGUAAUUUAUUUCUGUGAUGUGCAGCUGUAUUUUCAGCAUCAUUACUCCAGUCUUCAGUGUCACAUGAUCUUCAGAAAUCAUUCUAAUAUGAUGAUUUGCUGCUCAAGAAACAUUUCUGAUUAUUAUCAAUGUUGAACACAGUUGUGCUGCACAAUAUUUUUGUGGAAACUGUGAUACAUUUUAUUUUUCAGGAUGAAUAGAAAGUUCAAAGUAGCAUUUAUUUAAAAUAGAAAUCUUUUGUGACAUUAUAAAGGACUUUACUGUCACUUUUGAUCAAUUGAAUGCAAUUUCUGUCAAAAAAAAGUGCUGAUUCCAAACUUCAGAACAGCAGUGUAACAUUUUUCAUCCCCAAAUGUCUCCAAACUAAGAUUUUGACAGAGGAGGUUAUUUUCUCCUCAAACUAAAACUACAAACACACCGUCAUUGAGCAGGAGCUUCUCCAACUACAGCACAGCAGAAUCUGAGUUUGCAUUAAUAAUGAAAUGCACGCUGCAAAACUGCAAAAGCUUGUCCAUGCAAUCAACACAAUGUCGUGUGACACAAUCCAGACGUGUCUGAAACCCCAGCAUGCAUUUCAAUGGACAAAGCAUUCAGUUAGGUGAAAGAGCAAAGACAGAAGAUCUUUCUGCAGAUGUGGCUCCAGCGCUUCUUACCUGCACAAGGUUCACCUGAAGUCUCUGUGAGUCCAGCUGUCACAUCCCUCAGCUCUUAAAGCAGCCACGCCGGACCGGAUUGGAGCAGCAGGGUCCAGCAGGGGGUGAGGUCACAGUAUUUAAACGUCUGCUGAGGGGUUGACUGGGUUCUGGAUCAGUGUCCAGCUGCUGCAGCUCUUCAGUGGGAUGAGGGCUAGCUGGCAUCUCUAUUGUCGGUGGUUUACAGACUGAUGCCUUUGAGCCCGAACACACGUGUGACAAGAGUGUGUAGAAAGAUCCCGUGUGUGUGUGUGUGUAUCUGUGUGUGUCUGUUUGUGUAUCUGUGUGUGUAUCUGUGUGUAUCUGUUUGUGUGUGUGUGUGUGUGUGUGUGUGUCUGUUUGUGUAUCUGUGUGUGUAUCUGUGUGUAUCUGUGUGUGUGUGUGUGUGUGUGUGUGUGUGUGCAUGUUUCUGUGUC
This is a long non-coding RNA of Cyprinus carpio carpio, 2124 nucleotides long. Lineage: Eukaryota; Metazoa; Chordata; Actinopteri; Cypriniformes; Cyprinidae. The record is from Ensembl.